AUGGGACGACUGCAACAGAGGGAACCACGGGCACGACUACUCGUCGGCGCCAGCGCCGGUGUACCAGCACCCGCCCGUCGUCGGAGGCUGGGCCUCACAUUCUCCAAUGAGCUCAUCUCCCGCGAUGAGGGUCUACACCGCGACUUCGCCCGCCUCCUCUACAACAUCCUCUGCGGCAAGCUCGACAAGUCCCACAUCCUUGAGAUCGUCUCCGAGGCCGUGGAUAUCAAGAGGGAGUUCAUCUGUGACGUGCUCCCCUGCGCGCUCGUGGGUAUGAACUUCGACCUCACGAGACAGUACAUCGAGUUCGUCGUCGACCGCCUGCUCAUGGCGUUGGGCUGCAAGAAGCUGUAUGAUGCCACCAACCCAUUCGACUGGAUGGAGCUCAUCUCCCUGUAG
Molecule: ribosomal RNA, 399 nt
Filed under: Triticum aestivum (bread wheat)
Lineage: Eukaryota; Viridiplantae; Streptophyta; Magnoliopsida; Poales; Poaceae
Description: partial small subunit ribosomal RNA
Source: RNAcentral